UUUUAAGAGACAUUUGGGAUGGUCACAAC
RNAcentral lists this non-coding RNA (29 nucleotides) under Rattus norvegicus (Norway rat). Lineage: Eukaryota; Metazoa; Chordata; Mammalia; Rodentia; Muridae. The record is from RNAcentral.